GACGAACGCUGGCGGCGUGCUUAACACAUGCAAGUCGAACGGUGAAGGGACCGGUUUUUGCUGGUUCUGGAUGGGUGGCGAACGGGUGAGUAACACGUGAGUAACCUGCCCCCUUCUUCUGGAUAACCGCAUGAAAGUGUGGCUAAUACGGGAUAUUCUGCGCCUGCUGCAUGGUGGGUGUGGGAAAGAUAUUGUUUCGGUGGGGGAUGGGCUCGCGGCCUAUCAGCUUGUUGGUGGGGUGAUGGCCUACCAAGGCGGUGACGGGUAGCCGGCCUGGGAGGGUGGACGGUCACACUGGGACUGAGACACGGCCCAGACUCCUACGGGAGGCAGCAGUGGGGAAUAUUGCACAAUGGGCGCAAGCCUGAUGCAGCGACGCCGCGUGAGGGAUGGAGGCCUUCGGGUUGUAAACCUCUUUCGCCAGUGAAGCAGGCCUGUCCCUUUUGUGGGUGGGUUGACGGUAGCUGGAUAAGAAGCGCCGGCUAACUACGUG
RNAcentral lists this ribosomal RNA (493 nucleotides) under uncultured bacterium. RNAcentral's name for it is "partial 16S ribosomal RNA". It matches the Rfam family "Bacterial small subunit ribosomal RNA", at positions 28 to 507 of the family's 1533-position model. The record is from RNAcentral.